This 1194-nucleotide ribosomal RNA is filed under the name Klebsiella pneumoniae. RNAcentral describes it as "partial 23S ribosomal RNA". It matches the Rfam family "Bacterial large subunit ribosomal RNA", at positions 1 to 1238 of the family's 2925-position model. The record is from RNAcentral. Lineage: Bacteria; Pseudomonadati; Pseudomonadota; Gammaproteobacteria; Enterobacterales; Enterobacteriaceae.
GGUUAAGCGACUAAGCGUACACGGUGGAUGCCCUGGCAGUCAGAGGCGAUGAAGGACGUGCUAAUCUGCGAAAAGCGUCGGUAAGGUGAUAUGAACCGUUAUAACCGGCGAUGUCCGAAUGGGGAAACCCAGUGUGAUUCGUCACACUAUCGUUAACUGAAUACAUAGGUUAACGAGGCGAACCGGGGGAACUGAAACAUCUAAGUACCCCGAGGAAAAGAAAUCAACCGAGAUUCCCCCAGUAGCGGCGAGCGAACGGGGAGCAGCCCAGAGUCUGAAUCAGCUUGUGUGUUAGUGGAACGGUCUGGAAAGUCCGACGGUACAGGGUGAUAGUCCCGUACACCAAAAUGCACAGGUUGUGAACUCGAAGAGUAGGGCGGGACACGUGGUAUCCUGUCUGAAUAUGGGGGGACCAUCCUCCAAGGCUAAAUACUCCUGACUGACCGAUAGUGAACCAGUACCGUGAGGGAAAGGCGAAAAGAACCCCGGCGAGGGGAGUGAAAAAGAACCUGAAACCGUGUACGUACAAGCAGUGGGAGCACCUUCGGGUGUGACUGCGUACCUUUUGUAUAAUGGGUCAGCGACUUAUAUUCUGUAGCAAGGUUAACCGUAUAGGGGAGCCGCAGGGAAACCGAGUCUUAACUGGGCGUUAAGUUGCAGGGUAUAGACCCGAAACCCGGUGAUCUAGCCAUGGGCAGGUUGAAGGUUGGGUAACACUAACUGGAGGACCGAACCGACUAAUGUUGAAAAAUUAGCGGAUGACUUGUGGCUGGGGGUGAAAGGCCAAUCAAACCGGGAGAUAGCUGGUUCUCCCCGAAAGCUAUUUAGGUAGCGCCUCGUGAAUUCAUCUUCGGGGGUAGAGCACUGUUUCGGCUAGGGGGUCAUCCCGACUUACCAACCCGAUGCAAACUACGAAUACCGAAGAAUGUUAUCACGGGAGACACACGGCGGGUGCUAACGUCCGUCGUGAAGAGGGAAACAACCCAGACCGCCAGCUAAGGUCCCAAAGUCAUGGUUAAGUGGGAAACGAUGUGGGAAGGCACAGACAGCCAGGAUGUUGGCUUAGAAGCAGCCAUCAUUUAAAGAAAGCGUAAUAGCUCACUGGUCGAGUCGGCCUGCGCGGAAGAUGUAACGGGGCUAAACCAUGCACCGAAGCUGCGGCAGCGACACUAUGUGUUGUUGGGUAGGGGAGCG